UACGGAGGAUGCAAGCGUUAUCCGGAAUUAUUGGGCGUAAAGCGUCCGUAGGUGGUUAUUCAAGUCAGUUGUUAAAGCGUGGGGCUUAACCCCAUAAAGGCAAAUGAAACUGAAUGGCUAGAGUGCGAUAGGGGCAAGGGGAAUUUCCAGUGUAGCGGUGAAAUGCGUAGAUAUUGGAAAGAACACCGGUGGCGAAAGCGCCUUGCUGGGUCUGCACUGACACUGAGGGACGAAAGCUAGGGGAGCGAAAGGG
Molecule: ribosomal RNA, 253 nt
Filed under: uncultured bacterium
Lineage: Bacteria
Description: partial 16S ribosomal RNA
Rfam family: Bacterial small subunit ribosomal RNA
Source: RNAcentral